AAUGGCCGAGUUGAAGGUUUUUGCAGAAGAAAUCCUUAUAGAUUUUACCGAAUAUUAACACAACAAAGUUGAUUAUGCCUACUUCAAACGAAAUCUGCACCAGAGGAAGUAUUUUUUUUUUUAUUUUUAAUAUAUAUCUUAUUAAGGGAAAAUGCCCAUUUAGUACUAAUUCAAACCCCUUAUUUCCCAUUCCAAUGAUAAUCUUUUGCAUUAGCCCAUUCCAAUAUAAGGUAACUAUUUUUAUGCCCAAAUGCACAAAUCUUUACUAAAGUCUUAACAAACCAUAUUAUUUUAAGACUAUUUUGCCCCCACCUCUUCAACAUGAAAAGACUUGGCCGAAACCUCAGACUCCGGUCACCGACCGCAGGACUCCGGUCACAGGCCGCCGGACUCCGAUCACCUGAAUUUCCCCGACCGCCGGAUUCCGGUCACUAGAUUUUUCCCUGUAACCAGUUACUGACCCCCAAUAACCAGUUACUGACCAGUUACUCACACCCAGUAACCAGUUACUGACACCCAAUAACCAGUUACUGACCCCCAAUAACCAGUUACUCACACUCAGUAACUAGUUAUCGACACCCAAUAACCAGUUACUGACCCCCAAUAACCAGUUACUGACUCGUUACUGACACCUAGUAACCAGUUACUGACCUUCACUAACUAGUUAGACACUCAGUAAACCGUUACUGACCCCCACUGACCAGUUACUGACACCUAGUAACUAGUUACUGACCCCCUGUAACCAAAUUACUAACCCUCAGUAACCGACUUAUUACCCUCUAAUAUACAUGUUUGUUGUCUUCCCGUUGAUAGAUACAUCAAUAACACAAAAAAUGAAAUCAAUAACUAAUGCUAUACUUGUAAUCACACAUGAAAGAAACUUAUAACUUGAGCAGAAAUAUAUUUUGAGAACAGAAUUGCAACAUACUGCACUUAAUUCACAAGAAAUCACAACACUGCAACCUAGCUAUUCUCUUCAACAAGGUGCGUGCCCACAGUUUGGAUUCGGUAUACCCAGCCGCACAUUUGUAUUCUUCUUUGUACUGCAAACUCAAACAAAUCCCAAUCACAUACAAACACAUAUAUAGAUAGUCAAUGAUACAGAGGAAGGAAGACGGAGAAUUAAACCCUAACCUCGGAGAAAUCAACCUCGACCUUGGAUCUUACUCCUUGAGGAGCGAUGUAGCUGAUCUACACAUUCCGAUCUGUCGAUCCGAAGCCACCACCAUGCAGAUCCGUCAGACGCCAUUGUCACACAGUCCGACUCCACGAGCGGGAGCACAACCAGAAGCGCCAGCGCCUCGCAAUUCUGCUCGGGAUAAGUGGCCGGAGUCAAAGAUCGGCGAGCUCUGACGACGAAGCACGAGCCGGAUCUGGAUUCAAGCACGAGCUGAGGUUCGUCGUGUCGAGGCCGAGGAGCGUCGCCGGCGUGGCUGAGGACCUCGCGGUUCUGCUCGGAAUAAGUGGCUGGAGUCAGAGAUCGGCGAGCUUUGACGACGAAGCACGAGCCAGAUCUGGAUUCAAGCACGAGCUGAGGUUCGUCGUGUCGAGGCCGAGGAGUGUCGCCGGCAUGGUUGAGGAGUGUCGCCGUCGAGGCUUCGACGGUUGAUGCCUUAACACGAGAGAGAGAGAGAGAGAGAGAGAGAGAGAGAGAGAGAGAGAGAGAGAGAGAGAGAAUGAGAGAUAUUAGAUUUGAUUAGAGAGAGAAGAGUUUAAUUAUCAAUACAGGGUAUACUCGUAAUUUUAUUAAAAAUCAUUGAAAUGGGCUAAAAGAAAAGAUUUACAUUGAAAUGGGUAUUAAAAUCCUUGUUUUUGUGCAUUUGGGCAUUUUCUCUUUUAUUAAUAACUCACACACCCUACAUAUGUCAGUGAGGUUUGAACCUAUGAUCUCAAAGUUGUCAGUUAAACACUUUUUUUUUCUUUUUUUUUAGCGAAUUAUCAGUUAAACACCUUAACCAACCAAACCACAGCUCACCAACACACUAGAGGAAG
RNAcentral lists this long non-coding RNA (1992 nucleotides) under Fragaria vesca (wild strawberry). RNAcentral describes it as "long non-coding RNA (FVES_LNC002331)". Lineage: Eukaryota; Viridiplantae; Streptophyta; Magnoliopsida; Rosales; Rosaceae. The record is from RNAcentral.